CCUACGGGAGGCAGCAGUAGGGAAUUUUCGGCAAUGGGGGGAACCCUGACCGAGCAACGCCGCGUGAACGAAGAAGUUAUUCGUAAUGUAAAGUUCUUUUAACAGGGAAGAAAGAGAAAUUUGACGGUACCUGAAGAAUAAGCUCCGGCUAACUACGUGCCAGCAGCCGCGGUAAUACGUAGGGAGCGAGCGUUAUCCGGAAUUAUUGGUCGAAAAGGGUGCGUAGAUGGCAUAGUAAGUCUUUUUGAAAAAUGCUGGGCUCAACCCAGUAGGGCAAAAGAUACUGGAAAGCUAGAGUAUGACAGAGGCAAGUGGAACUACAUGUGUAGCGGUAAAAUGCGUAAAUAUAUGUAAGAACUCCAGUGGCGAAGGCGGCUUGCUGGGUCGAUACUGACAUUGAGGCACGAAAGCGUGGGGAGCAAACAGGAUUAGAUACCCCUGUAGUC
Molecule: ribosomal RNA, 446 nt
Filed under: uncultured bacterium
Lineage: Bacteria
Description: partial 16S ribosomal RNA
Rfam family: Bacterial small subunit ribosomal RNA
Source: RNAcentral